UACGUAGGGGGCAAGCGUUGUCCGGAUUUAUUGGGCGUAAAGAGCGUGUAGGCGGUCAGGUAGGUCCGCUGUGAAAACCCGAGGCUCAACCUCGAGAUGUCGGCGGAAACCAUCUGGCUAGAGUCCGGAAGAGGAGAGUGGAAUUCCUGGUGUAGCGGUGAAAUGCGCAGAUAUCAGGAAGAACACCCGUGGCGAAGGCGGCUCUCUGGGACGGUACUGACGCUGAGACGCGAAAGCGUGGGGAGCGAACAGG
This 253-nucleotide ribosomal RNA is filed under the name uncultured bacterium. Its description in RNAcentral is "partial 16S ribosomal RNA". It matches the Rfam family "Bacterial small subunit ribosomal RNA", at positions 524 to 776 of the family's 1533-position model. The record is from RNAcentral.